Molecule: ribosomal RNA, 627 nt
Filed under: Copelatus sp. MB6495
Lineage: Eukaryota; Metazoa; Arthropoda; Insecta; Coleoptera; Dytiscidae
Description: SSU rRNA
Rfam family: Eukaryotic small subunit ribosomal RNA
Source: RNAcentral
UUGAUCCUGCCAGUAGUCAUAUGCUUGUCUCAAAGAUUAAGCCAUGCAUGUCUCAGUACAAGCCACAUUAAGGUGAAACCGCGAAAGGCUCAUUAAAUCAGUUAUGGUUCCUUAGAUCGUACCCACAUUUACUUGGAUAACUGUGGUAAUUCUAGAGCUAAUACAUGCAAACAGAGUUCCGACCGGAGACGGGAGGAAUGCUUUUAUUAGAUCAAAACCAAUCGGCGGCGGGUGCGCUCGCGCGCCCGUUCGCCGCUCAACCUGGUGACUCUGAAUAACUUUCGGCUGAUCGCACGGUCCAGCACCGGCGACGCAUCUUUCAAAUGUCUGCCUUAUCAACUGUCGAUGGUAGGUUCUGCGCCUACCAUGGUCGUAACGGGUAACGGGGAAUCAGGGUUCGAUUCCGGAGAGGGAGCCUGAGAAACGGCUACCACAUCCAAGGAAGGCAGCAGGCGCGCAAAUUACCCACUCCCGGCACGGGGAGGUAGUGACGAAAAAUAACGAUACGGGACUCAUCCGAGGCCCCGUAAUCGGAAUGAGUACACUUUAAAUCCUUUAACGAGGAUCAAUUGGAGGGCAAGUCUGGUGCCAGCAGCCGCGGUAAUUCCAGCUCCAAUAGCGUAUAUU